RNAcentral lists this signal recognition particle RNA (300 nucleotides) under Aotus nancymaae (Ma's night monkey). RNAcentral's name for it is "Metazoan signal recognition particle RNA (ENSANAG00000004655.1)". It matches the Rfam family "Metazoan signal recognition particle RNA". From Rfam's summary of the family: The signal recognition particle (SRP) is a universally conserved ribonucleoprotein. It is involved in the co-translational targeting of proteins to membranes. The eukaryotic SRP consists of a 300-nucleotide 7S RNA and six proteins: SRPs 72, 68, 54, 19, 14, and 9. The record is from RNAcentral. Lineage: Eukaryota; Metazoa; Chordata; Mammalia; Primates; Aotidae.
GCUGGGCCACGGUGGCGUGUGCCUGUAGUCCCAGUUACUCGGGAGGCUGAGGUGGGAGGAUCGCUUGAGUCCAGGAGUUCUGGGCUGUGGUGCACUAUGCCGAUCGGGUGUCCGCACUAAGUUCGGCAUCAAUAUGGGGAUCUCCCGGGAGCAGGGGACCACCAGGUUGCCUAAGGAGGGGUGAACCGGCCCAGGUUGGAAACGGAGCAGGUCAAAACUCCCAUGCUGAUCAGUAGUGGGAUUGCGCCUGUGAAUAGCCACUGCACUCCAGCCUGGGCAACAUAGCGAGACCCUGUCUCU